RNAcentral lists this transfer RNA (73 nucleotides) under Perca fluviatilis (European perch). It matches the Rfam family "tRNA". Rfam says of the family: Transfer RNA (tRNA) molecules are approximately 80 nucleotides in length. Their secondary structure includes four short double-helical elements and three loops (D, anti-codon, and T loops). Further hydrogen bonds mediate the characteristic L-shaped molecular structure. tRNAs have two regions of fundamental functional importance: the anti-codon, which is responsible for specific mRNA codon recognition, and the 3' end, to which the tRNAs corresponding amino acid is attached (by aminoacyl-tRNA synthetases). tRNAs cope with the degeneracy of the genetic code in two manners: having more than one tRNA (with a specific anti-codon) for a particular amino acid; and 'wobble' base-pairing, i.e. permitting non-standard base-pairing at the 3rd anti-codon position. Lineage: Eukaryota; Metazoa; Chordata; Actinopteri; Perciformes; Percidae. The record is from Rfam by way of RNAcentral.
GGUUCCAUAGUGUAGCAGUCAUCACGUCUCCUUUACAUGCAGAAGGUCCUGGAUUCAAUCCCCAGUGGAACCA